CUACGGGAUGCAGCAGUGGGGAAUAUUGGACAAUGGGGGAAACCCUGAUCCAGCAAUGCCGCGUGUGUGAAGAAGGCCUGCGGGUUGUAAAGCACUUUCGGUUGGGAGGACUGCUUCUAGCACUAAUAUUGUUGGAAGUUGACGUUACCUUCAGAAGAAGCACCGGCUAACUCCGUGCCAGCAGCCGCGGUAAUAGCGGAGGGUGCAAGCGUUAAUCGGAAUUACUGGGCGUAAAGCGCGCGUAGGCGGCUAGAUCAGUCGGGUGUGAAAGCCCCGGGCUUAACCUGGGAACUGCAUCCGAUACUGUCUAGCUUGAGUACAGGAGAGGAGAGUGGAAUUCCACAUGUAGCGGUGAAAUGCGUAGACAUGUGGAGGAACACCAAUGGCGAAGGCAGCUCUCUGGCCUGAUACUGACGCUGAGGUGCGAAAGCGUGGGGAGCAAACAGGAUUAGAUACCCCGGUAGUC
This 466-nucleotide ribosomal RNA is filed under the name uncultured bacterium. RNAcentral describes it as "partial 16S ribosomal RNA". It matches the Rfam family "Bacterial small subunit ribosomal RNA", at positions 339 to 795 of the family's 1533-position model. The record is from RNAcentral.